GGUGAACAAGGAGGCCAUGUCAUUAGAUUUUCUUCUUUUAUACCAUUUCUUGCCAGCCACGCUGUGGAGUACUUGGACGCGUGUGAUGGAGCAUUGUCCUGCAUGAAAAUCAUGUUUUUCUUGAAGGAUGCAGACUUCUUCCUGUACCACUGCUUGAAGAAGGUGUCUUCAGGAACUGGCAGUAGGACUGGGAGUUGAGCUUGACUCCAUCCUCAACCCGAAAAGGCCCCACAAGCUCAUCUUUGAUGAUACCAGCCCAAACCAGUACUCCACCUCCACCUCGCUGGCGUCUGAGUCGGACUGGAGCUCUCUGCCCUUUACCAAUCCAGCCACGGGUCCAUCCAUCUGGCCCAUCAAGACUCACUCUCAUUUCAUCAGUCCAUAAAACCUUAGAAAAAUCAGUCUUGAGAUAUUUCUUGGCUCAGUCUUGACGUUUCAGCUUGUGUGUCUUGUUCAGUGGUGGUCGUCUUUCAGCCUUUCUUACCUUGGCCAUGUCUCUGAGUAUUGCACACCUUGUGCUUUUGGGCACUCCAGUGAUGUUGCAGCUCUGAAAUAUGGCUAAACUGGUGGCAAGUGGCAUCGUGGCAGCUGCACGCUUGACUUUUCUCAGUUCAUGGGCAGUUAUUUUGCGCCUUGGUUUUUCCACACGCUUUUUGCGACCCUG
This is a non-coding RNA of Pelobates cultripes (western spadefoot toad), 664 nucleotides long. Lineage: Eukaryota; Metazoa; Chordata; Amphibia; Anura; Pelobatidae. The record is from the annotation of a GenBank genome assembly.